RNAcentral lists this ribosomal RNA (965 nucleotides) under uncultured bacterium. Its description in RNAcentral is "bacterial SSU rRNA". It matches the Rfam family "Bacterial small subunit ribosomal RNA", at positions 8 to 933 of the family's 1533-position model. The record is from RNAcentral.
AGAGUUUGAUCCUGGCUCAGGACGAACGCUGGCGGCGUGCUUAACACAUGCAAGUCAAGGGGAAAUUAAGUCUUCGGAUUUAAGAUUAUACUGGCGAACGGGUGCGUAACGCGUGGGUGACCUGCCUUAAAGCAUGGGAUAACCUCUGGAAACGGGGGCUAAUACCGUAUAUAUCAUCGAGCUUCCUGGCUUAAUGAAGAAAGGUGCAACUGCAUCACUUUAAGAUGGGCCCGCGUCCCAUUAGGUAGUUGGUAGGGUAAUGGCCUACCAAGCCAUCGAUGGGUAGCUGAUCUGAGAGGAUGGUCAGCCACACUGGGACUGAGAUACGGCCCAGACUCCUACGGGAGGCAGCAGUGAGGAAUAUUGCGCAAUGGGGGCAACCCUGACGCAGCAACGCCGCGUGGGUGAUGAAGGUCUUAGGAUUGUAAAGCCCUGUCAGGUGGGAAGAGAGAUAGUGGCAGUGGAAAAGUCAUUAUGUAGGACGGUACCACCAGAGGAAGCUCCGGCUAACUCCGUGCCAGCAGCCGCGGUAAUACGGGGGGAGCAAGCGUUGUCCGGAAUCAUUGGGCGUAAAGGGCGUGUAGGCGGUCUUGUCAGUCAGUUGUGAAAUGUCACGGCUUAACCGUGGAGUUGCAAUUGAAACUUCAAGACUUGAGUGUCGUAGGGGAUGAUGGAAUUCCUGGUGUAGCGGUGAAAUGCGUAGAUAUCAGGAAGAACACCGGUGGCGAAGGCUGUCAUCUGGGCGAUCACUGACGCUGAGGCGCGAAAGCGUGGGUAGCAAACAGGAUUAGAUACCCUGGUAGUCCACGCUGUAAACGAUGGGCACUAGACGUCGGUCCCGCACCGAACUCAAAGAGAAUGAGUUGGGUGUGGGGUCGGUGUCGACGCAAACGCAUUAAGUGCCCCGCUUAGGGAGUACGAUCGCAAGGUUAAACUCAAAGGAUGACGCUGCCCGCACAAGCGGU